This 451-nucleotide ribosomal RNA is filed under the name uncultured soil bacterium. Its description in RNAcentral is "bacterial SSU rRNA". It matches the Rfam family "Bacterial small subunit ribosomal RNA", at positions 26 to 518 of the family's 1533-position model. The record is from RNAcentral.
AGAGCGAACGCUGGCGGCAGGCUUAACACAUGCAAGUCGAACGAGCGUAGCAAUACGCUAGUGGCAGACGGGUGAGUAACGCGUGGGAACGUGCCUUUUGGUUCGGAACAACCCAGGGAAACUUGGGCUAAUACCGGAUAAGCCCUUACGGGGAAAGAUUUAUCGCCAAAAGAUCGGCCCGCGUCUGAUUAGCUUGUUGGUGAGGUAAUGGCUCACCAAGGCGACGAUCAGUAGCUGGUCUGAGAGGAUGAUCAGCCACACUGGGACUGAGACACGGCCCAGACUCUACGGGAGGCAGCAGUGGGGGAUAUUGGACAAUGGGCGCAAGCCUGAUCCAGCCAUGCCGCGUGAGUGAUGAAGGCCCUAGGUGUAAAGCACUUUUGUGCGGGAAGAUAAUGACGGUACCGCGAAGAAUAAGCCCCGGACUAACGUUCGUGUACCAGCCAGCCGC